Molecule: long non-coding RNA, 1675 nt
Organism: Oncorhynchus keta (chum salmon)
Lineage: Eukaryota; Metazoa; Chordata; Actinopteri; Salmoniformes; Salmonidae
Exons: 6
Source: RefSeq, a predicted model, not a curated record
GGUGGGGUUGUGUUUCGUCCGGAGGACACACGGCUCACGACCUUCACCUCCUCCGAGUCUGUAUGGGAGUUGCAGCAAUGGGACAAGUCCCUGUGUGAUAUGAUAAAGCCACUAGUCUGUACUGCAGGUCUCUGUGUGAUAUGAUAAAGCCACUAGUCUGUACUGCAGGUCUCUGUGUGAUAUGAUAAAGCCACUAGUCUGUACUGCAGGUCUCUGUGUGAUAUGAUAAAGCCACUAGUCUGUACUGCAGGUCUCUGUGUGAUAUGAUAAAGCCACUAGUCUGUACUGCAGGUCUCUGUGUGAUAUGAUAAAGCCACUAGUCUGUACUGCAGGUCUCUGUGUGAUAUGAUAAAGCCACUAGUCUGUACUGCAGGUCUCUGUGUGAUAUGAUAAAGCCACUAGUCUGUACUGCAGGUCUCUGUGUGAUAUGAUAAAGCCACUAGUCUGUACUGCAGGUCUCUGUGUGAUAUGAUAAAGCCACUAGUCUGUACUGCAGGUCUCUGUGUGAUAUGAUAAAGCCACUAGUCUGUACUGCAGGUCUCUGUGUGAUAUGAUAAAGCCACUAGUCUGUACUGCAGGUCUCUGUGUGAUAUGAUAAAGCCACUAGUCUGUACUGCAGGUCUCUGUGUGAUAUGAUAAAGCCACUAGUCUGUACUGCAGGUCUCUGUGUGAUAUGAUAAAGCCACUAGUCUGUACUGCAGGUCUCUGUGUGAUAUGAUAAAGCCACUAGUCUGUACUGCAGGUCUCUGUGUGAUAUGAUAAAGCCACUAGUCUGUACUGCAGGUCCCUGUGUGAUAUGAUAAAGCCACUAGUCUGUACUGCAGGUCUCUGUGUGAUAUGAUAAAGCCACUAGUCUGUACUGCAGGUCUCUGUGUGAUAUGAUAAAGCCACUAGUCUGUACUGCAGGUCUCUGUGUGAUAUGAUAAAGCCACUAGUCUGUACUGCAGGUCUCUGUGUGAUAUGAUAAAGCCACUAGUCUGUACUGCAGGUCUCUGUGUGAUAUGAUAAAGCCACUAGUCUGUACUGCAGGUCUCUGUGUGAUAUGAUAAAGCCACUAGUCUGUACUGCAGGUCUCUGUGUGAUAUGAUAAAGCCACUAGUCUGUACUGCAGGUCUCUGUGUGAUAUGAUAAAGCCACUAGUCUGUACUGCAGGUCUCUGUGUGAUAUGAUAAAGCCACUAGUCUGUACUGCAGGUCUCUGUGUGAUAUGAUAAAGCCACUAGUCUGUACUGCAGGUCUCUGUGUGAUAUGAUAAAGCCACUAGUCUGUACUGCAGGUCUCUGUGUGAUAUGAUAAAGCCACUAGUCUGUACUGCAGGUCUCUGUGUGAUAUGAUAAAGCCACUAGUCUGUACUGCAGGUCUCUGUGUGAUAUGAUAAAGCCACUAGUCUGUACUGCAGGUCUCUGUGUGAUAUGAUAAAGCCACUAGUCUGUACUGCAGGUCUCUGUGUGAUAUGAUAAAGCCACUAGUCUGUACUGCAGGUCUCUGUGUGAUAUGAUAAAGCCACUAGUCUGUACUGCAGGUCCCUGUGUGAUAUGAUAAAGCCACUAGUCUGUACUGCAGGUCUCUGUGUGAUAUGAUAAAGCCACUAGUCUGUACUGCAGGUCCCUGUGUGAUAUGAUAAAGCCACUAGUCUGUACUGCAGGUCCCUGUGUGAUAUGAUAAAGCCACUAGUC